RNAcentral lists this transfer RNA (78 nucleotides) under Chloroflexota bacterium. RNAcentral's name for it is "tRNA-Asp". It matches the Rfam family "tRNA". From Rfam's summary of the family: Transfer RNA (tRNA) molecules are approximately 80 nucleotides in length. Their secondary structure includes four short double-helical elements and three loops (D, anti-codon, and T loops). RNAcentral also lists the same sequence under 1 other name. Lineage: Bacteria; Bacillati; Chloroflexota. The record is from RNAcentral.
GGCCCUGUGGUGUAGUUGGUUCAACACACUGCCCUGUCAAGGCAGAGAUCGCCGGUUCGAGUCCGGUCAGGGUCGCCA